GGUUAGUGGUUAAGAGAAUGGGAAGUUGUCUGCUGAACUCUUUAAAUCACCUUGGUUCCAACACGGUUCAAAAUAAUCUCCCCAUUUCGCCAAAGUCGUCGCAGAGUGCCUCAAGAGCUGUUCAACUGUACCCCUUAAAAAAGUGUUCUAGAAUGGGAGUUAGACGUGAAGUCUCAAUCUCACUUGAUGGAGUAGGAGACAAGAACAUUAUGCAGCUCAAGAAGCCUAAAUGGCUCUCUUAUCUGUUCGUUACAACGAUAAAUACUAUUCUGAUGGACUUGCUUCCGCCAAUUUCACCAAACUAGCUGAGCAUGUGGGAGAUUUGAGCCUUCACCUCCAGCUCAUAUAACUGCUGCUGGCUUUGGAGCCUCGACCACCAUAAAGAU
Molecule: long non-coding RNA, 386 nt
Organism: Vicia villosa (hairy vetch)
Lineage: Eukaryota; Viridiplantae; Streptophyta; Magnoliopsida; Fabales; Fabaceae
Exons: 3
Source: RefSeq, a predicted model, not a curated record